UCUGGAUUUUCGUUUCAAAAGGGAUUCUCAAGGUCGCAGCUGCUGCUUUAGUUGAUUUCCGCUGCAUUAGCUCCUGAAUUUCUGGGUGUUCGAGUUUUACUUCGGAUUCGAAAUUUGAAGCUAUGGGCUGUUUCUUCUAUUGCUGAGCUCCAACCAGUAGAUUUCUGGUCUUUAUUUGGCUAUUUUAAGCUGUGUUGCCGCAAAACUAGAUCCAGGCAUUGGACAACAGCAGUAGCAUGGGAGUUAGCGUUCAGUCCAGCGAGACUCCGAGGUAGCCUUGCAGACGUCCGCAGGCCUGGCGUCUCCUCCAUCUUUUAUUUUAGUCUGUCAUCUCAUGUAUUAGAGACAAACAGUUUGUACUUUCUUUCAAACGGUUGUAUUUAGUACUCUUAGUGGUUCGUGAGUAUGUGACACCAGUUCUUGGGUAGGGUUUAUGUUGAUUUUUCCCAUUGUUGUUCAAAUUCUUAAAUUUAAGACUUUCGCUUAUUUACCUUA
Molecule: long non-coding RNA, 495 nt
Organism: Nicotiana attenuata
Lineage: Eukaryota; Viridiplantae; Streptophyta; Magnoliopsida; Solanales; Solanaceae
Exons: 2
Source: RefSeq, a predicted model, not a curated record